GUGCUGAUGUAUGGACAGCCGUAUCGUGUUACCUUAGAGCUUGAGCUGCCAGAGUCCCCUGUGAAUCAAGAUUUGGGCAUGUUCUUGGUCACCAUUUCCUGCUACACCAGAGGUGGCCGAAUCAUCUCCACUUCUUCGCGUUCGUAUGUGCCGACCACUGGAGCGAUCAUUGAGAUCCACAGCAAGCGCAUCCAGCUGUAUGGAGCCUACCUCCGCAUCCACGCGCACUUCACUGGGCUCAGAUACCUGCUAUACAACUUCCCGAUGACCUGCGCCUUCAUAGGUGUCGCCAGCAACUUCACCUUCCUCAGCGUCAUCGUGCUCUUCA
This 328-nucleotide small RNA is filed under the name Pan troglodytes (chimpanzee). Its description in RNAcentral is "processed transcript". The record is from RNAcentral. Lineage: Eukaryota; Metazoa; Chordata; Mammalia; Primates; Hominidae.